GUGUCAGCAUUAGUGAUACACAGGAUAAAUCAUCAAACUAAAGUAAACAAGGAACUACAUCUGUAGACCAGAGGAAGUUGUUUAAACUUUUCCUGACCUGGCCAUUUUACCACACCUUCCCCUAUUGAACUUACUAUUGACUGGAACCCUGUAAAUUGUUGGGUGCUUUUGGAAGCAUGAUCCAAGAAAGUAUGAGAAUGGAAGUAUGCACAGCAGCAGAACUAAUUCAAAGUCGACUAUGAAUGGCCCUUAAAGUAUGUUGGUAGUUUGUUCACAGUUCAUAAAAGAGAUUCCUGUAUAAUGUUAGUCAUUCAAAUGUAUCCCAUCCAAAUGUGUAUCAUUCAUUUGUGCAGAAUACUGGUAAAAUUAAAAUUCUUUAUCUUUA
This is a long non-coding RNA of Schistocerca nitens (vagrant locust), 385 nucleotides long. RefSeq lists it as uncharacterized. The transcript is spliced from 2 exons. The record is from RefSeq and is a predicted model, not a curated record. Lineage: Eukaryota; Metazoa; Arthropoda; Insecta; Orthoptera; Acrididae.